This 181-nucleotide small nucleolar RNA is filed under the name Colletotrichum orbiculare MAFF 240422. Its description in RNAcentral is "small nucleolar RNA snR32". It matches the Rfam family "Small nucleolar RNA snR32". The record is from Rfam by way of RNAcentral. Lineage: Eukaryota; Fungi; Ascomycota; Sordariomycetes; Glomerellales; Glomerellaceae.
AACGUGAAUAUGUGUUGCCAGCACUACGCUUUGUGUAGAUCGGCAUCAACUGUCGUCUCUCCAUCGACGUUGGUGUUUUCGCUCCUGGCAUAGAACAAAUAUCAACCCGUUGCUGGGCACCUAGCUUUGAGCAGUCGUCUUGACUGUCAUGAGAAGCUGGGAAUCAGCUGAGGUUACAUAA